Molecule: ribosomal RNA, 442 nt
Filed under: uncultured bacterium
Lineage: Bacteria
Description: partial 16S ribosomal RNA
Rfam family: Bacterial small subunit ribosomal RNA
Source: RNAcentral
CCUACGGGUGGCAGCAGUGGGGAAUAUUGGGCAAUGGGCGCAAGCCUGACCCAGCAACGCCGCGUGAAGGAAGAAGGCUUUCGGGUUGUAAAAUUCUUUUGUCAGGGAAGAGUAGAAGACGGUACAUGACGAAUAAGCCUCGGCUAACUACGUGCCAGCAGCCGCGGUAAUACGUAGGUGGCAAGCGUUGUCAGGAUUUACUGGGUGUAAAGGGCGUGUAGCCGGGUUGACAAGUCAGAUGUGAAAUCCUGCGGCUUAACCGGAGAACUGCAUUUGAAACUGGUGAUCUUGAGGACUGGAGAGGCAGACGGAAUUCCCAGGGUAGCGGGUAAAUGCGUAGAUAUUAGGAGGAACACCAGUGGCGAAGGCGGGCUGCUGGACAGCAACUGACGGUGAGGCGCGAAAGCGUGGGGAGCAAACAGGAUUAGAUACCCUUGUAGUC